AUCUGUACUCUUUAGUUACAGUUGUUCAACCAGUUACUAAUCUAGCGAACUGUAACCAGUUGAACAACUGAACCUGAAGGGUGCAAAGUGGAAGCAUU
RNAcentral lists this microRNA precursor (98 nucleotides) under Sorex araneus (European shrew). RNAcentral describes it as "microRNA 582 (ENSSARG00000014933.1)". The stretch from base 5 to 87 matches the Rfam family "mir-582 microRNA precursor family". Lineage: Eukaryota; Metazoa; Chordata; Mammalia; Eulipotyphla; Soricidae. The record is from RNAcentral.